This 425-nucleotide ribosomal RNA is filed under the name uncultured bacterium. RNAcentral's name for it is "bacterial SSU rRNA". It matches the Rfam family "Bacterial small subunit ribosomal RNA", at positions 354 to 796 of the family's 1533-position model. The record is from RNAcentral.
GUGGGGAAUAUUGGACAAUGGGCGCAAGCCUGAUCCAGCCAUGCCGCGUGAGUGAUGAAGGCCUUAGGGUUGUAAAGCUCUUUCAGUGGGGACGAUAAUGACGGUACCCACAGAAGAAGCCCCGGCUAACUUCGUGCCAGCAGCCGCGGUAAUACGAAGGGGGCUAGCGUUGUUCGGAUUUACUGGGCGUAAAGCGCACGUAGGCGGAUCGUUAAGUCGGGGGUGAAAUCCUGGAGCUCAACUCCAGAACUGCCUUCGAUACUGGCGAUCUUGAGUCCGGAAGAGGUGCGUGGAACUCCUAGUGUAGAGGUGGAAUUCGUAGAUAUUAGGAAGAACACCAGUGGCGUAGGCGGCUCACUGGUCCGGUACUGACGCUGAGGUGCGAAAGCGUGGGGAGCAAACAGGAUUAGAAACCCCGGUAGUCC